GGGGAAUAUUGGACAAUGGGCGCAAGCCUGAUCCAGCAAUGCCGCGUGGAUGAAGAAGGUCUUCGGAUUGUAAAGUCCUUUCGGCGGGGACGAUGAUGACUGUACCCUCAGAGAAAGCCCCGGCUAACUACGUGCCAGCAGCCGCGGUAAUACGUAGGGGGCAAGCGUUGUCCGGAUUUACUGGGUGUAAAGGGCGCGCAGGCGGGAUAAAAAGUCAGUGGUGAAAUCCUACAGCUUAACUGUAGAACUGCCUUUGAUACUUUUAUUCUUGAGUUCGGGAGAGAGAGACGGAAUUCCAGGUGUAGUGGUGAAAUACGUAGAUAUCUGGAAGAACACCAGUUGCGAAGGCGGUCUCUUGGUCCGACACUGACGCUGAGGCGCGAAAGCGUGG
Molecule: ribosomal RNA, 391 nt
Filed under: uncultured bacterium
Lineage: Bacteria
Description: bacterial SSU rRNA
Rfam family: Bacterial small subunit ribosomal RNA
Source: RNAcentral